AAUCCGAUGUCUGAGAUCCGAUAUCCGAAUAUGAUAUAGUCCGAACUCAUGGGCGACCAUGAGAGCGCGGCAGAAAUGACCGCGCCACCCAGCACAUAUUUUUGGAGAAAAAGAAAAAGGCAUUGUGCAGGAUCUUCAACACAAUGCCAUCUAGAUACCAAGCUACUUUCCAGUUAUAAUUUCUGCGUUCACAGAAACCAAAUUUCCGACCGUGCGGCCGAACUUGAGCUUGAUCGUUUUGACAGGCAGAGUAGUCAGGUCAAGCCUCAUCUUGCGGAAAAUUUUUUGAACGGCUACAACUCUACUCGGUCCUUCCGUUGAAUGAAAUGCUUUUAUCAGUUUCAUUGGCAACCUCCUUGGCAGCCUCACUCAAGGGCUACCCGAAGGUUACCAUGGUUGAUCGAUAAAUGUCAAGAAUCCGACUUAAUCUCCAAAAAUAUGUGCUGGGAAGCAACAAAAUUGUAGAUACCCUUGUAGUCCACGCCCUAAACGAUGCCUGCUUGCUGUUUCGAGUAUCGACCCUCGGAGUGGCGUAGCUAACGCGUUAAGCAGGCCGCCUGGGAAGUACGGCCGCAAGGCUAAAACUCAAAGGAAUAGACGGGGACUCGCACAAGCGGUGGAACAUGAGGUUUAAUUCGAUAGUAAGCGAGGAACCUUACCAGGGCUUGAAAUGCUUAUUGAAAGCUGGCUGAAAGGCUGGCCUUCUCUCAAGGACAAUAAGCACAGGUGCUGCAUGGUUGUCGUCAGCUCGUGUCUUGAGAUGUUCCCUUAAGUGGGGUAACGAGCGCAACCCCUGUCGCGUGUUACAAGUGUCACGCGAAACUGCCCAGCCCCAGUUUUACUGCCGACGUUCUUUAAAAGGUUCGAGCGUUGGUGGCGAUAUAAACCGUUUUGCGUUAAGCAAGGCGUGUUUGUAAAACUGGGGCUGGGAGGAAGGAGGGGAUGACGUCAAAUCCGCAUGGCCCUUUGAUGCCCUGGGCUACACUCGUGUUACAAUGGCCGGUACAAUGGGUUGCCAACGCGCAAGCGGGAGCUAAUCCCAUCAAAAUCGGUCUCAGUUCGGAUUGAGGGCUGCAACUUGCCCUCAUGAAGCUGGAAUCGCUAGUAAUCGCAAAUCAGCUACGUUGCGGUGAAUACGUUCUCGAGUCCUGUACUCACUGCCCGUCACGCCAAGGAAGCCGGGAAGAGGUGAAGCCCCUCCCCAGUUCUACGAGCCGCGUUGGGAAACCACCACGCGUUUCGUAGUGCACAACUCGUUCAACAUUGAUCGAACAAUAGUUGUAGAACUGGGGAGGGGUUAGCUUCAGCUCGGUGACAUGGGCGAAGUCGUAACAAGGCACGCGUAGCGGAAGCUGUGCGUG
This 1361-nucleotide ribosomal RNA is filed under the name groundwater metagenome. RNAcentral's name for it is "bacterial SSU rRNA". The stretch from base 354 to 1361 matches the Rfam family "Bacterial small subunit ribosomal RNA". The record is from RNAcentral.